GAUGAACGCUGGCGGCGUGCCUAAUACAUGCAAGUCGAGCGAACAGACGAGGAGCUUGCUCCUCUGACGUUAGCGGCGGACGGGUGAGUAACACGUGGAUAACCUACCUAUAAGACUGGGAUAACUUCGGGAAACCGGAGCUAAUACCGGAUAAUAUAUUGAACCGCAUGGUUCAAUAGUGAAAGACGGUUUUGCUGUCACUUAUAGAUGGAUCCGCGCCGCAUUAGCUAGUUGGUAAGGUAACGGCUUACCAAGGCGACGAUGCGUAGCCGACCUGAGAGGGUGAACGGCCACACUGGAACUGAGCCACGGUCCAGACUCCUACGGGAGGCAGCAGUAGGGAAUCUUCCGCAAUGGGCGAAAGCCUGACGGAGCAACGCCGCGUGAGUGAUGAAGGUCUUCGGAUCGUAAAACUCUGUUAUUAGGGAAGACCAAAUGUGUAAGUAACUAUGCACGUCUUGACGGUACCUAAUCAGAAAGCCACGGCUAACUACGUG
RNAcentral lists this ribosomal RNA (497 nucleotides) under uncultured bacterium. RNAcentral's name for it is "partial 16S ribosomal RNA". It matches the Rfam family "Bacterial small subunit ribosomal RNA", at positions 28 to 507 of the family's 1533-position model. The record is from RNAcentral.